This 253-nucleotide ribosomal RNA is filed under the name uncultured bacterium. Its description in RNAcentral is "partial 16S ribosomal RNA". It matches the Rfam family "Bacterial small subunit ribosomal RNA", at positions 524 to 776 of the family's 1533-position model. The record is from RNAcentral.
UACAGAGGUCUCAAGCGUUGUCCGGAAUUAUUGGGCGUAAAGCGCGCGCAGGCGGUCCUUUAAGUCUGAUGUGAAAGCCCACGGCUCAACCGUGGAGGGUCAUUGGAAACUGGGGGACUUGAGUGCAGGAGAGAAGAGUGGAAUUCCACGUGUAGCGGUGAAAUGCGUAGAGAUGUGGAGGAACACCAGUGGCGAAGGCGACUCUGUGGCCUGUAACUGACGCUGAGGCGCGAAAGUGUGGGGAGCGAACAGG